UACGUAGGUGGCAAGCGUUGUCCGGAAUUAUUGGGCGUAAAGCGCGCGCAGGCGGUCCUUUAAGUCUGAUGUGAAAGCCCACGGCUCAACCGUGGAGGGUCAUUGGAAACUGGGGGACUUGAGUACAGAAGAGGAAAGCGGAAUUCCACGGGUAGCGGUGAAAUGCGUAGAGAUGUGGAGGAACACCAGUGGCGAAGGCGGCUUUCUGGUCUGUAACUGACGCUGAGGCGCGAAAGCGUGGGGAGCAAACAGG
This 253-nucleotide ribosomal RNA is filed under the name uncultured bacterium. Its description in RNAcentral is "partial 16S ribosomal RNA". It matches the Rfam family "Bacterial small subunit ribosomal RNA", at positions 524 to 776 of the family's 1533-position model. The record is from RNAcentral.